Molecule: ribosomal RNA, 449 nt
Filed under: uncultured bacterium
Lineage: Bacteria
Description: partial 16S ribosomal RNA
Rfam family: Bacterial small subunit ribosomal RNA
Source: RNAcentral
AGUGAACGCUGGCGGCAUGCCUAACACAUGCAAGUCGAACGAAGGCUUCGGCCUUAGUGGCGCACGGGUGCGUAACGCGUGGGAAUCUGCCCCCAGGUUCGGAAUAACAGCGAGAAAUUGCUGCUAAUACCGGAUGAUAUCGCGAGAUCAAAGAUUUAUCGCCUGAGGAUGAGCCCGCGUAGGAUUAGCUAGUUGGUGUGGUUAAGGCGAACCAAGGCGACGAUCCUUAGCUGGUCUGAGAGGAUGAUCAGCCGCACUGGGACUGAGACACGGCCCAGACUCCUACGGGGGGCAGCAGUGGGGAAUAUGGGACAAUGGGCGAAAGCCUGAUCCAGCAAUGCCGCGUGGGUGAUGAAGGCCUUAGGGUUGUAAAGCUUUUUUACCCGGGAUGAUAAUGACAGUACCGGGAGAAUAAGCUCCGGCUAACUCCGUGCCAGCCGCCGCCGUAA